This 224-nucleotide long non-coding RNA is filed under the name Brassica rapa (field mustard). Its description in RNAcentral is "long non-coding RNA (BRAP_LNC005911)". The record is from RNAcentral. Lineage: Eukaryota; Viridiplantae; Streptophyta; Magnoliopsida; Brassicales; Brassicaceae.
GAUAAAGGAGAGGUAUAGUAGAUACCUCCACAACAAAUACACCUCACACCGAUGAAUCCAAAAAGCUAGAACAAGGCAAAAACGAAUUGACCAUGACUGCAGAAAAACCACAACUCAUAUCUAAGGCAACCCUCGACUUAACAACAACUUAUGAACCACACCUUCCACUUUCGAAACAGGAACGAAGAAACACAAAUCUGAGGCCGAAGAUAUCCCCCUCACCC